This 392-nucleotide ribosomal RNA is filed under the name uncultured bacterium. RNAcentral's name for it is "partial 16S ribosomal RNA". It matches the Rfam family "Bacterial small subunit ribosomal RNA", at positions 523 to 918 of the family's 1533-position model. The record is from RNAcentral.
AUACGGAGGAUCCGAGCGUCAUCCGGAUUUAUUGGGUUUAAAGGGUGCGCAGGCGGCCAUUUAAGUCAGCGGUUAAAUCGUGGGGCUCAACCCCAUUCUGCCGUUGAUACUGGGUGGCUUGAUUGCGGUCGAGGUUGGCGGAAUUCGUUGUGUAGCGGUGAAAUGCAUAGAUAUGACGAAGAACACCGAUUGCGUAGGCAGCUGACCAGACCGCAAAUGACGCUCAUGCACGAAAGUGCGGGGAUCGAACAGGAUUAGAUACCCUGGUAGUCCGCACAGUAAACGAUGAAUACUUGUUUUCGGCGAUAUAAUGUCGGAGGCAAAGCGAAAGCGAUAAGUAUUCCACCUGGGGAGUACGCCGGCAACGGUGAAACUCAAAUGAAUUGACGGGG